GUUUCUUAAAGGUUCAGAGGAAUAUAAGGAAAAUUACUACUAAGCUUCCAAGUUUCUUCUAGUGUUAUUUGAUUACAUUUAUUCCGUGGCUGAACGGUGUAAGCAUGGACCACCAGCCGGAGACCGUGCAGCUGAACCCAGUAAGUCCUGCACCCGGAGUCCCGCAAGCUCCGCCAGCGGUCAGCAAGGGCGAGGUGCGGUGCUGCGGCUGCUUGCCUCUGAGGGCCGGCACCAUCGCCAUCGGCGUCCUCUACCUGGUGUCUUGCUUGAGUUCGGGAGUCUACAUCACCUAUCUCUACAUCAACUAUCAUGGAGACAUGAGACGUAUAGUAAUGCUGGUCACUGUCGCCCUUGUUAUUGUAUCCAUUUCAACCAUCGCUACCAGCUUGCUGUUAUACGGGGCCGUAAAGGCAUCCUGCCACAGCGUAGAGAAGCAAGAGUUCUGCUACGUGCAACCUGCAAUGUCAACAAUUGUUAGGGCGUAAAGCCAUAGGAACACCCAAGCAAUUCCAACAUCAAGAUUUUGGAACGUAAGGCCCUGGCUUCGCAGCGAGCAAGGAACAACAAAGAAGAUCAACGGACAAGAUGGACUCCUCCACAACCGUGCACUUAAACUUCUUUUCGAAAUGUUUCCGCUCGACAUUUCUUCACAAAACCAACCGUCAUGGGUUUUUCCUUCCCUGGAUCAUCUGGGAAUGUAUCAGCUGUGGACUCCUGAUCAUUAUGACUUUAAAUUCCAUCACGGGCCCUUCUGGUCUUCCUGACUUUUCAAUUUUUAAUAUUAGGAUCU
Molecule: unclassified non-coding RNA, 790 nt
Filed under: Penaeus japonicus
Lineage: Eukaryota; Metazoa; Arthropoda; Malacostraca; Decapoda; Penaeidae
Description: uncharacterized LOC122252962, transcript variant X1
Source: RNAcentral